UACGGGGGGAGCAAGCGUUGUUCGGAUUUACUGGGCGUAAAGGGCGCGUAGGCGGCGUGACAAGUCACUUGUGAAAUCUCCGGGCUUAACCCGGAGCGGUCAAGUGAUACUGUCGUGCUAGAGUGCGGAAGGGGCUACUGGAAUUCUCGGUGUAGCGGUGAAAUGCGUAGAUAUCGAGAGGAACACCUGCGGCGAAGGCGGGUAGCUGGGCCGACACUGACGCUGAUGCGCGAAAGCCAGGGGAGCGAACAGG
RNAcentral lists this ribosomal RNA (253 nucleotides) under uncultured bacterium. RNAcentral's name for it is "partial 16S ribosomal RNA". It matches the Rfam family "Bacterial small subunit ribosomal RNA", at positions 524 to 776 of the family's 1533-position model. The record is from RNAcentral.